AGUUAAACAGUACGUGAAAUUGUUGAAAGGGAAACGAUUGAAGUCAGUCAUACCAACGGGAAAUCAACCUUUUGAGUUUGGUCUCGUGGGUUUUGAAGAGUUUUUAAAAGCCUUCGGAUUUUCGAGAUUGGGUUCUUCUGGUGUACUUUCUCGUACGGUUAGUCAACAUCGGUUUUGAAUGUCAUAAAAUGACUGGAGGAAUGUGGCUUCGAUCUCGUAUUGAAGUGUUAUAGCCUUUGGUAGAUGUGAUGUUCGAGACCGAGGAUUGCAACGGAUACCCUUCUGGGCUAUUCGUCUGAUCUCUGAAACGUUGCCUUGAUGUCGAAAGCUUGCUUAUGAUGUUAGGGUAUUACGGUCAAAAGGUUAGAACGGAUUAAAUUCGUUAAGGAUGUUGACGUAAUGACUUUAAA
This 410-nucleotide unclassified non-coding RNA is filed under the name uncultured Funneliformis. RNAcentral's name for it is "sequence contains 28S rRNA gene". Lineage: Eukaryota; Fungi; Glomeromycota; Glomeromycetes; Glomerales; Glomeraceae. The record is from RNAcentral.